CUUUCUCUCUCCCUUCUCGAGUUUUUGAGUUUUCUCUCUCCCCUCCUCGAGUUUUCUCUCUCUUUCUUUCUCCUCUCUCAAAAGUUUUAGGCGAAGUAUUCAACAACCUUGUGUUCGCGAGCUGCAUUGGUGAAGGUGUGGUUCAAGCAAUUGUUGUUCUUCACGAUUUUAUCUCAAGAAUGGGGGGUAACGUUAAGGUAGUAGCAACUAAGAGGAAAGGUGCAGAUACGAAGAAAGUUGCAGGGGCAGUAAAGAAUAGGGCGGUAAGGGUCAUAUUAUUUCACUUAGUUAUUGUGUAAUAUUCUAAUUUGCUUAAAAUGUAAUAUUGUUGGUUGUUUGACAAAGUAUCAUCCACACUUUACUUGGUGUUGUUCCCGGGAAGAAACCUAGUGAUCCCGCAAGAUUGAUCAAGAACGGUGGGAAGAGAAAGAGGUCGUACAAGAUUGAUGAUAACGGCGAUGAGAUAGAUUCGGUGGAGGAUGACGAUUGUAAUAGCCCCGGUUUUAAACAGCUCUUAAUUAUAUGAUUAAUUAUAUUUUAUCAGCUUAAUUGGAUUUUAAAUCCUCUUUAUAUAAAAAUAAUGUGUUGUUAAUUAUAAGAUAUUAUUUAUGGGUUUCAAAAUGCUUUAAAGAAAAUCUAAAAUUUUUAAGUUGAAUCCAAUAUUACUAUUUUGCCCUUAUAUAUGCAUGAUCUCCAAGGACCAAACUCACCAUUCUUUGUUCUCUUCGUGUCAAUUAAGGAGGUUUCCAAACCAUGCAUUUUUGUUUUGUUGUCAUCUUCUCAUGAUACCUUCUGUCCACCAACAUGAUAUUGAUCAAAAUCAUGAAUUUAAUCACACCAGAAUUUGUAAGCCAAAAAAAAAAAAAUUCCCAAUCUCAUUCAAAAAGUCGUUCUCCUCCCAACUACAGAUUCUGUUCAUCGAAUAUCUUCAGUAUACAGUUAUAUUUUGCCUAUGAUUUCUUCAUAAGAGUUGUAGCCCUUGAAAAGUUAAUCAGUUUAGCCUUAAGAAACACUCAAUUUGGAGCUUUAUCGUAGGAGAUACGCCCUCUUCUUUUCGCCGCUGCUGUAGUUGUUGCUUCCAGCACCAGAUUCUAUUCGUCAUGUUUUGAAGAUCUUUUGCUCAUUUUUAGCUUCUGGUUUCCAUAUAAAAGUUGUAGAGAUCUUCGUGUUAAUGAAUUUAGGCUCAAGAAUCACUCAAUUCGGAGCCGUAUUCUAGGAGAUACACUCUUCUGAAACCGGUUGUUGCUGCUGCCUUUAUUCUACCGCGGCUGGACUGCUCUUUGAUAUUGUUAUUGCUGCUGCUGAUACUUCGUUGUUGGGGUGUUGUGCUUCUCAAUCAAGCCAUAUAUCCUCUUAUUUUAAAGGAAAUCAAGUGGGCCUUGAAAGUAACAAAGGUAAACUAUUCACAUCAAUCUAGGAAAUUGAUUAUUUAAAUGGUACUCGAGAAAGGAAGGUAUAAAAGAGGUCGGAUUCAAAUAUUAUAUCUUGGAGUUUCAAGGUCGAAUAGUGAAGAUUCCUAUUCGUGAUUUUGCAGGUUUAGUUAAUGCUGGAAGUUGAAUCAGGGAUCGCGAAUGCAAAAAGAGAUAUAUGCUAG
Long non-coding RNA from Spinacia oleracea (spinach), 1594 nucleotides. RefSeq lists it as uncharacterized. The record is from RefSeq and is a predicted model, not a curated record. Lineage: Eukaryota; Viridiplantae; Streptophyta; Magnoliopsida; Caryophyllales; Amaranthaceae. The transcript has 3 exons.